Molecule: ribosomal RNA, 253 nt
Filed under: uncultured bacterium
Lineage: Bacteria
Description: partial 16S ribosomal RNA
Rfam family: Bacterial small subunit ribosomal RNA
Source: RNAcentral
UACAGAGGGGGCAAGCGUUGUUCGGAAUUACUGGGCGUAAAGGGCCCGUAGGCGGCCAACUAAGUCAUACGUGAAAUCCCUCGGCUUAACCGGGGAACUGCGUCUGAUACUGGAUGGCUUGAGAUUGGGAGAGGGAUGCGGAAUUCCAGGUGUAGCGGUGAAAUGCGUAGAUAUCUGGAGGAACACCGGUGGCGAAGGCGGCAUCCUGGACCAACACUGACGCUGAGGAGCGAAAGCCAGGGGAGCAAACGGG